This 9996-nucleotide long non-coding RNA is filed under the name Hordeum vulgare. RNAcentral's name for it is "long non-coding RNA (HVUL_LNC001690)". Lineage: Eukaryota; Viridiplantae; Streptophyta; Magnoliopsida; Poales; Poaceae. The record is from RNAcentral.
UCUAAAUAAAUCACUGUACGUCAACCGCCUCACCGCCCAGAACACUCCUUCCAUCGCCGCCCUUCGGCGCCGAUUGCGGCCAUCACCUGCAACCCCCCUCCCCACCUCAACUCGCCCAGAUCGCCACCCUGCAACGCAGAGCACGACGCCCUUCAGCGCCCAGCCCGGCCGUCGGCUGCAACGACCCCCAUCCCUACCUCAACAACCAGAUCGAUCUGAUCUCGCUGCCCUUCAGCACCUAGCACAGCCGUCGGCUGCAACGACACCCAUCCACACAUCAAUCACCGGAUCGAUUUGGUUGUUCCUCCACCUGCCUCAGAGCCGUUUGGAUUUGGCUAUUCCUCAACUGUAAGUAUUCUUGAGAUUGACUUGUUGACCCAUGCCUACAUACGAGACGCUGCUGAGUUAGUUAGAAUUGAACUCCAAGCCCAUGUAUCAUCAGAUUUAGGCAGGCAGGACCACCUCCGGCCAUCCGCUGAGCCAUGAGCGACUCCUGUCCUCCACCUACAGAGUACUAACCUCAAGUUCUGCUUUUUAGCAUUGCCAUGCACCAAAGUAUCCAUUCUAUUCGUAAGUUCUGCUACAAAGUAAUAAUGUGCAGGUUGAUGGUCGUGUGGUUUGCAGUUUCUGUUAGCCAGAAGAUAGGACUAAAAGUAUAUCAUAGUUCAGUGAAUUUUAAGACUUAUCAUUAUCUGACAAAGUUCAGAAGAUAGACAUACAACAUAAACAGAGGUACAACUAGUACGAUGGCAAAUGCAUGACACAAACAGCUAGUAUAGCUAGUUCCAUGUCUAUCGGUCCCAAGUCUGUAGGGGUAUUUUCUAAUAAAUAGAUACAAUAAUCCAUCAUUUUUAUUUUGGACUUUGUGUUGUGCCCUCUAAUUUGCGAGUUGGUGAAUGUAUUGUUGAUUUUACUCUAUAUUUGUCAGCCUGUAAGAUCCUGUAUAACCAGUUCAUUUUAUUGUUUAGUAGUUUCUUUUAAGCAUCUGAAUGAACAACUUCAUAUAAGUGUAGCAACCUUGUUUUUAUAAAAUCAAAUUGUACUCGGUUCAACUCUCACAAAGAAGACACUAUGUUCUAUUACAGAUUAUAUUUAUUAAGCGAUAAAAGACUAUAUUUUGACGAUGACAUAGGCCCUAUUUUAGAGUUUGGCACACGACCAUUGAUUUUGCCCGCCCGGCCCUGCAAGUAACCGGUUAGCGACCAUAAGUUGAAAGCCAGAAAAUUGGUAAAAAAAAGAGAUCCUUGGAUAUAUUCCUCAUGUAUUUCCUUUCAUGUGAAAUAAAUAAGUGCCUACUAAAAUGGACGAUCAGUAAUUGAGUAGUUGUUGUAGUGCACAAUAAGUAGAAUAAAUCGACCUACCUAAAUAUCAUAUAGAAAAUAGGUGUUCUUUGGCUGUUUCAAAGAAUGAAGUGUAGUAAUAGUAUAAUCAGAUGUGUUCAAUAUCCAAACUGUCAGAGUUCAUGCAUCCUAAUUGGCUGCAUCUUCCACUUAAAUGAGUUGUGGUUUAAUCCUCCCAAACCACGUUAUCAUGCCUGCUUGAGAACUUGAUUUUGUUACUAGUUUUGUUUGAUCUGCUAUAUGCAAGUAAGCCUUAGUGGGCUCUGAUAAACAGAUUUCAGCAAGGUAAUAACUGCAAACAACAACUAGGAUGUGGGAUGGCGUCUCUCUCCCACCUCCCUGGGCGGCGACCCAAUGGCGAUCUGGAAUUCUAGCCGGCAUCUCAUCCACCCUUGCCGCCCCUCUGCUGAGGUGAACCUUCUCUACCCUUCUCUCGCGGCUGGUCAUGGCCUGCAUGGGGGGUUCCACGUUGGAUCUGGAUUUCUCGCAUGGAUUGGCUUUCUCUCAUGAGGUUUAUCGCCACUCGGGUUUUACGGUGCACCCUAUGAAGCAUCGUCGCCCCUUCAUUAUGGUGAUCUCUUUUGGUCGUCACGUGUUCCGGCUAUCGCCUGACACAGUGGCUGCAGCUCUGGAAUCGGUGAUUGGUGGUUCGGCUAUCGAGUUUCGAGUUUCUCAAAUCACAGAUUCGGUUUUCUCUUUCAAGGUCUCAUGCAUGCAAGUUGGUUUUCACAUUCUGGAAUUGCGUUCUUUCAAGUGCUCAAAUUUUAAGUGCUUCUUCCAUCUUUGGGGACAUGGAGGUCCUAAUUGGCGUCGGGAAUUUGCUCUCUGGAAGAAGCAAUGUGAUGCCGAGUGGAUUAUUGUGAGCCCCUCCAAGCGGAGGGCUUCUCUAGGUCUGAUGGCCAUGCAUUCCACACCACUUAAGUCUUCUCUCAAAUCUGGAUCUUCUGUUCGUAAGAAGCUAUCUUUUGCAUCCCUUCAACAAUAUGAGGUUUGCAAGGGCUAUAGGUACCCUGUUUCCCAUGAUGAGCUAGUCACUCUUGAGCAAGUUGGUUAUUCGGUGCCUACCCCUGAACGUGUCAUCAUCUCUGCACCACCGCCAGCGGAACUCCGGUGGAUGGUAGCCACGCCGCACAUUACAUUUGGCACAGUUCCUUGCCAAGUUUCAUCCCCCGGUUCUCUCGGCAAAAAUUUUCAAACUGCCAAAAUUUUCGGAACUUCCCACGUGCAGCAAAAGGAUACAGCUAAUCCAGCCGAGAUUCAAGGCUCUUUCAAUAGUGGGAAUCAAUCGUCGGGGGCAAGCUUGGAUUCUGGACAAAUCUCCUCUCUUAUUAAUGAGCCUGCUAAGGGUUUUUCAUCCUCUGGGCCUGAUACUAAUUCCAUGAUGGAUAUUCCUUCUUCUCAGGAGGCCCAUACGGCCUUUGACGAGCUUAUUAAUAGUAUGGUUGAGGAUAUCUUUUCUUGCUCUAUUUGCAACGCUCGGGGCCAUCUAGCCGCAAACUGUACGGCUUCGCCUGGCUACUCUGACAGCACGAUGGGCCACGCACGAUCUAGAGGAGCCUCUUUUAUGCGUAAUAAUUGUCUUACUUGGAACUAUAAGAGACCCAUCACCUCCCCUGUCGCUGAUAUCUCGGGAACUGCUGAUACCCUUGGCGAAACAGCAACCCCUGCGAAGCAGUUCCGUCGUGUCUCAUCGCCGUCGCCUCCUCGAACUCCCUCGACGACACCACCGGUCACUCCGCCACCGCCACCAGCAAUGGCAAACUUCGAGCUUGAUCCAGAGUUCUUCCUCCCGCCUGGUCACAACAUCACUGAUGGAGGGGUUGACUGGCUGCCGCGGACCUACACCAUGCCGGCAGUACCCGUCACCAGGCGCCACGAGCGCUUCAUCAUCGCCAUAGUUCAUCCAGUGCCGCCUGCUGAUGAGGUGAUUCAGGUACGACAAGAAGUCGCUGCCCUUCUCCUGCAUCAAGGAUUCCAUGUCCGGUCUGCUCAACCCUGGAUGGAGGGAGUGGGUUUGUUUGAGCUCCGGGAUGCGGUGGAGAGUUAUGCUACAGUCCACAUGGUGCCGCAGCCUCUUGCAAACUCGGUGGUGCGCUUCAUACGUCAUGAUCAUGGUCUCGGCUUCCGCGGCCAAGAGGGUUUUCGUCAGGGCUGCCUCAUGCUUCUGGGGGUACCAUUGGAUUUCCGCAACACCGAAGAUCUCAGGGCGGCUGUUAACACCUUUGGGGAGUUUCAUCAUUGGGUCCAUGACGACCCAUAUUUGGUUCGUUCUAUUGUUUUUGCCGCCUUCCCAAAAGACCGGCUAGUACCUCGCAGUAUCAGUUUCUCAGAAUAUUCUGCUUGGCAUGGCGCAAAGGUGUCCUGGUCUGCUCCUGUGUACAUUUUGGGUACGACGGCUGCAGAGAUUCUCCCCAAUGAUGAGGAUCCGAUGCCUCUCAAUGGCAACCCUCAUCCGCUCCCCGGGCAGCUUGUUCAUGACAAUCUGCAAUUUGCUUUGCCCCCAUAUCCUGCACUAGGAUGGAAUGCGGUGCCACUCGCCCCUGGAGAUCCUGGGCCUGCCGCUGCGGAUGCUGAAGACGGUGGCUGGGGGCUGCCGCCCGUCGAUCUUGAGGCAGGAGGCUGGGGUCAACCGCCUGCUGAUGGAGGAGGCUGGGAACAGGUUGCGGCACCUGCUGCGCCCGCUGAUGCGCCUGCUGUUGAUCCAGUUCAAGACCAGGAAUCAAUGGUGAUUGAUCAGCCGAGUCCCUCCUCCUCGGACUCGGUGCACGAAAUGGUGGUUGAUCCACAGCACGGUCAGAGGGCGGAGGAACCGGUCGCUCCAGAACCACCAGUGCAUCUUCCUGAUGCCGCUAAUGUUUCUAUUGAUGAUGCUGAUACUGCUGCUCUCGCUGAUGCCCCAGACAAUGCUGCUGUGCCGGAGGCUGGUGCUGCUGGUCCUGAUGCUGGUCGGGACAAUGGGGCUGAGCUGGAGGAAGAAGAGCCUAGGCUGGAGGAGGUGCACGAUACAAACCCUGUGGCGAUGGUUCUCUACAAACCCCCUCCACCCGCUCAGUCCAACCUCCUUGUCGGGGCGUCUAGGGUUUUAUAUGGGCCUCCGUUGCCCCCAGUGAUGUCCUGGGCACGCACUUUUGAUAAUCUGAUGGGCCCUGCUGCUGCUAUGCAUAUACCUCGUCAGUUCCAGCUGCCAAUCCUUGAGCCCAUCCUGAUCCCCAAGCGAUCCUGGGACGUGGCUUUUGAUGCUGAUACUCUAGGACCUUCACUGUCGGACCCUGCUUCUGCCUCGCUCUCACUACAGGAGGUAACCCCUAUCAGCCCAGCUUCUUCUUCAGAGGACUUAUCCUUCCGCUCUCCUGCUCCAUCCAAGAAGGGGUCCUGCAAGAAGGCCACCCCGGUGGUGGACUCCUCGGUGAGGCGGUGUACUCGUGGCUCAAUCAAGCGCGACGGCUUCAAGCCAAUUCUGCAAGAGCUACCUGCACACAUCCCCAAGAAAAGGAAGCCGAAAGCCAAGCCUAUGUCCUCAACGUCACAGGAGUCUGAAGAUGUACCUCCUGCCACUCCUAUCCCAGUGAUCCAAGAGGUAGGGCAGUCAUUGGGCAUAGCCCCGGAGAAGCUCACGGUGGAUCGACUUAUGGAAGAUCCUGCUGACUCUGCGCCCACAUCUUUUGAUGUUUAAUCCGCCCAUGUUAAGUUGUUACUGUACAGGUUUUAUGUAUUGUCGAACUUCUGCUGUCUUUUGGUGCUUGAAACUUCGGUUGCAGUGGCUAUUACAUAGCCUUGCUUUUGCUAUAUCUCUAAUUUGCAAUGGAUAGUCGUUCCACGAGGAGUUGGCGUGUGCUGUGCUGGAAUGUGCGUGGCCUCAAUUCGGAUCAUAGACAACGGGCAGUCCGUAACAAAAUCGAUGAGAGCCUUGCUGCGGUGGUCUGCUUGCAGGAAACAAAGAUGCAGUCUAUCGAGUUUCGAGCAGUUAAAGGUUUUUGCCCCAAACGUUUUGAUCAAUUUGCUUACUCCCCUUCCGGGGGUGCAUCAGGAGGGCUCAUCACCCUUUGGAACUCUUCCAUUCUCACUGGUCACUUAGUACAGUGCACCCCAUAUGGCUUGAUCACCUCCUUUACCUCAAAUCACACAGGUGAAUCAUGGACUUUGGUUAAUGUCUACAGACCAUGUCAAGGGGAGGCCCGUGAUCUUUUUGUGAGCUGGCUUUACAAUCUUCAUAUCCCCACUGGGGCUAACUGGCUACUCCUUGGGGACUUUAAUUUCAUUAGAUCUCCUGACAACAGAAACCUCCCUGGGGCUGAUGUAAAUGACAUGUUCAUCUUCAAUGAAAUUAUUGGGCAUUUGGGAUUAUUGGAGCUUCCCAUCAAAGGUAGAUCCUACACUUGGUCCAAUAUGCAGGACACCCCUCUUCUGGAGCAGUUGGACUGGUUCUUUACAUCCACCAACUGGAUCUCCUCUUAUCCUCUCACCCAAGUGCUCCCUCUGGCAAAGACUGCAUCUGAUCAUGUGCCUUGUGUGGUCACUGUUAACACCUCCAUCCCCAAAUGCAACUUAUUUCGUUUUGAGAACUACUGGGUUGAAAUGGAGGGCGUUAUCGAAUGUGUGCAACAAUCAUGGCUCAUUCCUUCAAGAAAGACUCACAUCUCUGCUAUUAUCAUGGAUAAGAUGAAGCAUCUUAGGCAGGCUCUGAAGAAAUGGCAGACGUCUCUGUCUCAGUUAAAACAUCUUAUUUCCAGAUGCAAUCAAGUGAUGCUAUGCUUGGAUGAGCUUGAAGAGCUGAGGUACUUAUUCAGGCCGGAAGCUAAUUUCAGGAAAAUUGUCAAAUUGCAUUUGGAACAUCUGCUACACCUUCAGUGUUUAUACUGGAAGAAGAGGGCCACUAUUUGAUUUGUUAAAGUUGGUGAGGAAAACACUAAGUUCUUUCAUGCUAUGGCCACUGAACGGUAUAGGAAGAAUUCCAUUGCCUCUCUCAAGUUAAAUGAUGGUUCUAUUAUCUCUGAUCAUGAUCAAUUUGCUGCAUGCUUCUCGGCAUCUUUCAAAGAUCGAAUGGGAACUUCUCUUGGCAUUAAUAUGGCAUUUGACUUAGACUCCCUAUUGGAUGAAGUUCAGGGACUAGACAUUCUCACAGAACCUUUUUCCAAGUCUGAAAUGGAUAAAACUGUGCAUGAUAUGCCUACUGACAAAGUUCCAGGGCCUGAUGGUUUCAAUGGGCUUUUUUUCAAGAAAUGCUGGCACAUUAUCUCCCCUGAGUUUUAUCAGCUUGCUGCUGAAUUUCAUGCUGGCCAUGCCCAGCUGGUAAACAUGAAUUCUUCCUAUAUUACACUCAUUCCCAAAAAUAGGUCACCUGAACAUGUGGGAGAUUACAGACCAAUAUCUCUUACUGGAAUGGGUCUUCAAUUUUUGUCAAAAAUGCUUGCCAAUCGGCUACAAUUGCAGAUUGUUAAAUGUCUUCACAAGAAUCAGUACGGUUUUAUCAAAUCUAGGACUAUUCAGGAUUGUGUGGGCUGGACUCUUGAGUAUCUGAACCAAUGUCAUCAAUCCAAGAAGCCUAUAGUUAUCCUUAAGCUGGAUUUUGAAAAGGCAUUUGAUUCUGUGGAGCAUGAAUUCAUCUUCCAGAUUCUUAAAUCCAAGGGCUUCAAUGAUCGAUGGAUCCUUUGGGUUAGGGAGCUUCUAGCCUCUGGAUCUUCUUCAGUACUAAUCAAUGGUGUGCGUGGGAAGAAGUUCAUGUGUAAAAAAGGUGUCAGACAGGGAGAUCCUUUGUCCCCAUUGCUGUUUGCUAUUGCUGCUGACUUUCUACAAACUCUGGUGAAUCAACUGCUGGUGGAUGGACUGAUCCAGUUGCCUAUACCUACCCAUGAUAAAGAUUACCCUAUAGUGCAAUAUGCUGAUGAUACUCUCAUCAUCCUACCAGCUGACAAAUCACAGUUGUUGCAGCUUAAGAAAAUGCUUUUGCUUUUCUCUCAGUCCAAUGGAUUACAGGUGAAUUAUCACAAAUCUGCACUCCUACCUGUCAACACUCCUUCUCAGCAUCUGCAGGACCUGGCAGACUCCAUUGGUUGUAAAGUGGGAUCUCUACCCUUCACAUAUCUGGGACUGCCUGUUGGAACAACUAAACCUCGAAUCAUUGAUCUCAUGCCUCUGGUGGAUAAAAUGGAAAGAAGGCUCGGUGCUAGUUCCUCUUUUCUUGAUCAGGGGGGCAGACUGCAAUAUGUAAACUCAGCACUGUCUGCUGUUCCCCUUUUCUUCCUAUGCAGCCUGGAUAUACCACCAGGUAUACUGAAGCAAUUGGAGCGGAUUCAACGGCAAUGUCUAUGGAGAAGAAAUGGGAAUGAUCAUGCACCCUCUCUUGCUGCUUGGCCCCUGGUGUGCAGGCCUAAAAAUAAAGGGGGGUUAGGGAUUGUGAAUUUAGCCGUUCAGAAUGAAGCUCUCCUGCUCAAACAUGCUGAUAAAUUCCUUAAUCAUGCUGAUAUCCCUUGGGUUCAUCUGAUUUGGAACACUUACUAUCAUAACACUGUACCUCAGGGUACUGCACUUCGUGGCUCCUUUUGGUGGAAAGACAUCUGCAAACGUCUUGACCAAUUCAGAUCUGUUACCUAUGUUUUGCCUAAUAAGGGUGAUUCCUUCUUGUUUUGGUCUGAUUCCUGGUUACUUGGCAAAUCCACUAUGCCAUUGGCAGCUAGAUUCCAACGAUUGUUCUCCUUUGUGGCUGACCCUUUCUGCACAGCUCAAGAAGUCUUUGCUGCUUUUUCUGAGGACCGUAUGCUAUAUAUGUUUCACCUCCCACUGUGUGCUCAAGCUUAUCAGGAACUAACUGCUGUCCAAUCUUUACUUCUGGACCUGGACCUUGAUCAUCAGGCCUUUGACAGAUGGGUAUGGCGUAAGGAUGCUAAGGUCUACACACCUAAGGCCUACUAUGCUCAUGUUCAUAGCAGUAUUGUACCUAACCCUCUGCUUAACUGGAUCUGGAAAAGCUGUUGUACCAUGAAAGUUAAGAUGUUUGCCUGGGUGCUCAUUAUGGACAGGCUGAACACACAGGACAUGCUGGAAAGGCGUCACUGGAAGGUUUCUGAUUCUAAUCUCUGUGUGUUAUGCCAUGCCCGAGUCAAGGAAGACAGAGACCAUUUAUUCUUCACAUGCCUAUUCAGCACCAGGGUUUGGAACUACCUACAGAUCACUUGGCAGGGGUCAUCUAUGUGGACUGCUACUGCUGCAGCUAGAAAGAACUUCCCUCAUCCAUUCUUUGCUGAGGUUGUUUUCACUGCCUGUUGGAAUAUCUGGACUACCAGAAAUGCAAAGCUCUUCAACCAGGAACAGCCAAAGUUCAGGAAAUGGAGAGCUGGAUUUAUUCAUGACAUUUCUUUGUUAGCUCAUAGAAUUAAGGCUAGUUUCAGGGAUGAUCUCCUUAAGUGGAUUUCCUUUUUGCCUCCUUGAGGUCUGUAUCCCUCUGCUCCUCCCCCCUCUGUACAUUCUACAACCUCUCUUGUACAUACAGUUUUCAUAGUUGCAAUACAGAAAAUGGCUGUGGGGGGUUUUCCCUACAGUAGCCGGUCAAAAAAAAGUAAGCCUUAGUUUGGAACAUGGUUUUUAAAAAGCCAAUGUAUUUGUUUGAUCUGCUAUAUGCAAGUAUGGUAGUGUACGACCAGAUUAAUCACCUAUAGUUACAUGGCCAUGCACAAAGCCAGUUUCCUGUAGUCCUGUGUAGAAGUGUGCUCUAACUACCAAUUUAUUUCUAUAAAAAAGUGGAAGCCAGUUUCCUGUAGUCCUCUGUAGAAGUGUGCACAAAGCCAGUUUCCUCUAGUUCUACAAUAUAUGCAAAACCGUCAUACUUACUUGGGAAGCUAUGUUUUUUUGCAUUGCUCCAUAAUAAAAAUACAUGCAAGUUACUUUUCUAUUUUUUCAUAGCUCCGUAGCAAAGCACGGGCAUCAUGCUAGUUAUUCCCAAAAAACUGGGCUGACAUUAAAAAGUGAUCACAUUGUUCAUGUAAAUUGUAUUCUCAUUGUCAUUGAAUGCUAAUAUUGAUCAUAAUAUAGUCUGGUUCCAAAGUAGUUUUGAAGACUUCAACGUAUCCCAACAAGAGGAAUGUUGUGUAUGGUACUAUUCGUAGUACUGAUCCAACAACUAAGGCGUGUGGUAUUGAGUUAGGUGCUGAAUUUUCCCUUGUGCACAUAGAUCAACCUUUGCUUGAUAAUGAGGAGUUGGCAAGGGAAGUUUCUGAUUGCAAGAUAAUUGUUGAAGCGUUCUCUUCAGGAUACUUAAUUGCAUGACCUUCAGCUUUUGUAAGUUAAAUCUUCUCUUCAACAUUUUAAAUCAUAUUUGUGUGCAUUUAAUCACAUAUAUCUAACGUGCAAUUUUCUUUCUACAGAUUCGAGAGAAGGAUAAUUGAGUUACGGUAGAAUUCUUGGAUGCAGAAGCAAAUAAAAUCUGAAGAUUUUAUCUACCAAUAGUCGUAGUUUACAUUGAUAGAUUGAAAAACGUAAUAUCGUCCACAUGAUCUUUUGUUUCGUCCAGUUGAUGCAAAUUCUAUGGUGUAAUAUUCUUCAUAGUUGUGUUUUCUAUGCUCAAAAUGAUAUGAAUGAUAUCUUUAUUGUAAUGCAUAUGUAUCAUACACUUGUAUAUUCUUAAUCAGUAUCUUCAUAUUGAGGAUUUUUAUAUGUGUUGUGC